CCUACGGGAGGCAGCAGUGGGGAAUAUUGGACAAUGGGCGAAAGCCUGAUCCAGCAAUGCCGCGUGAGUGAUGAAGGCCUUAGGGUUGUAAAGCUCUUUUACCAGGGAUGAUAAUGACAGUACCUGGAGAAUAAGCUCCGGCUAACUCCGUGCCAGCAGCCGCGGUAAUACGGAGGGAGCUAGCGUUGUUCGGAAUUACUGGGCGUAAAGCGUACGUAGGCGGUUAUUCAAGUCAGAGGUGAAAGCCUGGAGCUCAACUCCAGAACUGCCUUUGAAACUAGAUAGCUAGAAUCACGGAGAGGUUAGUGGAAUUCCGGAGUGUAGAGGUGAAAUUCGUAGAUAUUCGGAAGAACACCAGUGGCGAAGGCGACUAACUGGACGUGUAUUGACGCUGAGGUACGAAAGCGUGGGGAGCAAACAGGAUUAGAUACCCUGGUAGUCCACGCCGUAAACGAUGAUAACUAGCUGUUCGGUCUCUACGAGACUGAGUGGCGCAGCUAACGCAUUAAGUUAUCCGCCUGGGGAGUACGGUCGCAAGAUUAAAACUCAAAUGAAUUGACGG
RNAcentral lists this ribosomal RNA (562 nucleotides) under uncultured bacterium. Its description in RNAcentral is "bacterial SSU rRNA". It matches the Rfam family "Bacterial small subunit ribosomal RNA", at positions 338 to 916 of the family's 1533-position model. The record is from RNAcentral.